AUUGAACGCUGGCGGCAUGCUUUACACAUGCAAGUCGAACGGCAGCGCGGGCUUCGGCCUGGCGGCGAGUGGCGAACGGGUGAGUAAUACAUCGGAACGUGCCCAGUAGUGGGGGAUAGCUCGGCGAAAGCCGGAUUAAUACCGCAUACGACCUGAGGGUGAAAGCGGGGGCUCUUCGGACCUCGCGCUAUUGGAGCGGCCGAUGGCAGAUUAGCUAGUUGGUGGGGUAAAGGCCUACCAAGGCGACGAUCUGUAGCUGGUCUGAGAGGACGACCAGCCACACUGGGACUGAGACACGGCCCAGACUCCUACGGGAGGCAGCAGUGGGGAAUUUUGGACAAUGGGCGAAAGCCUGAUCCAGCAAUGCCGCGUGUGUGAUGAAGGCCUUCGGGUUGUAAAGCACUUUUGGCGGGAACGAAAAGGACUGUGCCAAUACCACGGUUCGAUGACGGUACCCGCAGAAUAAGCACCGGCUAACUACGUG
RNAcentral lists this ribosomal RNA (484 nucleotides) under uncultured bacterium. RNAcentral's name for it is "partial 16S ribosomal RNA". It matches the Rfam family "Bacterial small subunit ribosomal RNA", at positions 29 to 507 of the family's 1533-position model. The record is from RNAcentral.